RNAcentral lists this ribosomal RNA (1050 nucleotides) under Biston falcata. Its description in RNAcentral is "partial 16S ribosomal RNA". Lineage: Eukaryota; Metazoa; Arthropoda; Insecta; Lepidoptera; Geometridae. The record is from RNAcentral.
AUUAAUAAUUAAUAUAUUUAAUAACAAUAAUUUUAAUUUAAUAAAUAUUUUAAUGGGGGUUAAAGUAUUUUUUAAAGAAAAAAUUUUUAAAUUUAUAGUUAAUUAGUAUUGUGAAAGAAUUUUGAAAUAUUAUGAAAAAUAAAAUUUUUAUAAAGUAAUUUUUAUUUAUUGUAUCUUGUGUAUCAGAGUUUAUUAAAAAUUUUUAAUUUAUAAAUUAAUUUCUCGAAUUUAAAAGAGUUAAAUAAUUAUUAAAGUUAUUGUAGCAAAAUUAUUUUAAAUAAUUAUUUAGAAAUGAAAUGUUAAUCGUUUUUAAAUAUAUCUAGUUUUUAUAGAAAAAAAUUUAAUUUUAAAUUUAAAAAUUAUUUAAUUAAUUUAUUAAUUAAAUAAUUAUUUAAAUUUUAUAAUUUAAGGGAUAAGCUUUAAAUUAAAUUUUUAUAAUAUUAAAUUUUUAUUUUGAAAAUUUUAUAAUUUAUAUUGUUAAUAAAUUUUAUUUUGUUAUAAAUAAUUUCAUUUUUUUUAAAAUUUAAAUUUUAUUUAAUUUUUUAUAUAAAAUUUAUUUAUAAUUAUAUAAAGUUAAUUAUAAUGAUAAAAUUAGUAUAUUAUUUAAUAUUAAAUUAAAAUUAAUUUUUGAUUAAUAAUUAAAUUAAUUAAAAGGAAUUCGGCAAAUAUUUAUUUUCACUUGUUUAUCAAAAACAUGUCUUUUUGUUAUUUAAUUUAAAGUCUAAUCUGCCCACUGAUUUAUAAAAAUUGAAGGGCUGCAGUAUAUUGACUGUACAAAGGUAGCAUAAUCAUUAGUCUCUUAAUUGGUGACUUGUAUGAAAGAUUGGAUGAAAAAUAUACUGUCUCUUAAUUAAUAUAUAGAAUUUAAUUUUUUAUUUAAAAAGUUAAAAUAAUUUAAAAAGACGAGAAGACCCUAUAGAGUUUAAUAAAUUAUUUUAUGGAAGUUUUAUUUAUAUUUACUAAUAAUUUUAUAAAUUUAUUUAUUUUGUUGGGGUGAUAAAAAAAUAAAUUUAACUUUUUUUAAGUAAUUUACAUGAAUAAGUGAUUAAU